RNAcentral lists this ribosomal RNA (254 nucleotides) under uncultured bacterium. RNAcentral's name for it is "partial 16S ribosomal RNA". It matches the Rfam family "Bacterial small subunit ribosomal RNA", at positions 524 to 776 of the family's 1533-position model. The record is from RNAcentral.
UACGGGGGGAGCAAGCGUUGUUCGGAUUUACUGGGCGUAAAGGGCGCGUAGGCGGCCAGCACAAGUCAGUUGUGAAAUCUCCGAGCUUAACUCGGAAAGGUCAACUGAUACUGUGCGACUAGAGUGCAGAAGGGGCAACUGGAAUUCUCGGUGUAGCGGUGAAAUGCGUAGAUAUCGAGAGGAACACCUGCGGCGAAGGCGGGUUGCUGGGCUGACACUGACGCUGAGGCGCGAAAGCCAGGGGAGCGAACGGG